ACCUAUCAACGAUGGAUCUCUUGGUUCCCGCAACGAUGAAGAACGCCGCGAAACGCGAUAUGUAAUGUGAAUUGCAGGAUUAAGUGAAUCAUCAAAUCUUUGAACGCAAAUUGCUGCUCGACCUCUUGCAGGCCGAGCAUGCUUGCUUCAGACUCGU
This 157-nucleotide ribosomal RNA is filed under the name Dictyocoryne truncatum. Its description in RNAcentral is "5.8S ribosomal RNA". It matches the Rfam family "5.8S ribosomal RNA". From Rfam's summary of the family: 5.8S ribosomal RNA (5.8S rRNA) is a component of the large subunit of the eukaryotic ribosome. It is transcribed by RNA polymerase I as part of the 45S precursor that also contains 18S and 28S rRNA. The record is from RNAcentral. Lineage: Eukaryota; Polycystinea; Spumellaria; Spongodiscidae.